Molecule: ribosomal RNA, 426 nt
Filed under: uncultured Syntrophomonas sp.
Lineage: Bacteria; Bacillati; Bacillota; Clostridia; Eubacteriales; Syntrophomonadaceae
Description: bacterial SSU rRNA
Rfam family: Bacterial small subunit ribosomal RNA
Source: RNAcentral
GGGGAAUAUUGCACAAUGGAGGGAACUCUGAUGCAGCGACGCCGCGUGAGCGAAGAAGGCCUUCGGGUUGUAAAGCUCUGUUGUAAGGGACGAAAGAAUAAGGGAGUAACUGCCCUUAAAGUGACGGUACCUUACCAGCAAGCCCCGGCUAACUACGUGCCAGCAGCCGCGGUAAGACGUAGGGGGCGAGCGUUGUCCGGAAUUACUGGGCGUAAAGAGCACGUAGGCGGGUGUUUAAGUCAGGUGUGAAAGACCGCAGCUCAACUGCGGGGUUGCACUUGAAACUGAACAUCUUGAGGGCAGGAGAGGUUAGUGGAAUUCCUGGUGUAGCGGUGAAAUGCGUAGAAAUCAGGAGGAACACCAGUGGCGAAGGCGACUGACUGGACUGACCCUGACGCUGAGGUGCGAAAGCGUGGGUAGCAAACA